CCGAGUUUUCAACUCCCAAACCCCUGUGAACCUUACCUAUCGUUGCCUCGGCGGACCGCCCCGGUGCCUCGUCGCCCGGACCCAGGCGCCCGCCGGAGGACCCCCAAACUCUGUUUCUAUAAUGUUUCUUCUGAGUAAACAAGCAAAUAAAUUA
RNAcentral lists this unclassified non-coding RNA (154 nucleotides) under uncultured Nectriaceae. RNAcentral's name for it is "sequence contains ITS1". Lineage: Eukaryota; Fungi; Ascomycota; Sordariomycetes; Hypocreales; Nectriaceae. The record is from RNAcentral.